Molecule: long non-coding RNA, 3210 nt
Filed under: Durio zibethinus
Lineage: Eukaryota; Viridiplantae; Streptophyta; Magnoliopsida; Malvales; Malvaceae
Description: long non-coding RNA (DZIB_LNC001192)
Source: RNAcentral
ACCAGAUAUCUUAACACACAUCUAACACCUCAAAGGGAAAUUCACUUCAUGCACACACACAACAUACACACAGCGAAAAGUGGGGAAUUGAUUCUCAUAAUCCACAUUCUUUUUAGUUUUGGACAAGAAUCAGUAAGCUAUCUAUCUCAAUAGCAAAAGCUGCUAGAUCUUUCUCGUCCUUAGAUGCAUGGCAUUGAUACUAAAAACAAUCGUUCACAACAUGUUAUUAUUUAGAAUUUAGAAUCAUGAACCAAUAAAAUGUCACAACAAAGACAUGCCCAUGGAUUUGAAUGAUAAAAAAAAAAAAAAAAGCUUAGCUUAUGGAUCAACAUAGAAUCCUUUCAACUUUGCCUUUUCCUUCAAUUGAAUCAACUAUUUUUCCUGGCAAUUAUAGACCAUACAAUACAACUAAAACGCUUUUAGGAUUUGAUAAAAAAAAUUUAUAUAAAUAACAAAAAGAAACCAGUGGCUUUAUGUCUGUUAAUUUCUUAAGGGCUUAUCAUGCAUAAAGUGGACACUAGCACCAUUUAAAAUUUGUAACUCUAGUAUUAGCAAGCACCACUGACGCAAAAAAAAACUAAAGAUUAUAUGACUGUUAAUUUCUAUAAUAAAACUUUGCCAUGAAUACAUUUCAAGAACUUAUAGGAGAACUUGAAAUUAAAAAUGUAGAUUAAACUUUUUGAUCACUCUUAUCUUGUCAUUAUUCACAUGGCUACUGUAUUUCAAAUUGGCAGUAAAGUUACUUUGACUACAAUGCAGAUGACAACAUGUUUCAUUAUUUCAAACUAAUUGGAGAAACAUCAAUUAUAUCAAUGUAGUUAGGGAAGCAACUUUAUGCACUUAAAGGUUUUUCCAUUCCAUGCACAUUUAAAGCCAUAUCCAAGGGGUUGAUAUGAUAAAAACCAAAAUAAAAAACCACUUUACUGCUAAUGUCCAUGCAACUCAAGUGUCUGUUAGUGGUUGUAUUCUAGAAAUGAAUGCAUCGAUCAGUUGUACCACCUUAAGAAGUAAGAAGCCUGUGCAGAUGGGAAAACCAUACAAUUGCUUUUACAGCAGCAAUAUCCUCAGUAUUUCAGGAUAGGUUAAAUGGAAUGUUGAUUCCAAACAAAAAGUUGCAUAUAGAUGAAAGUUUUGCCAUUCAAUCAGUUGACUAUAUGUAUAUUAAUUUCUUGGGGGCCUGUCAUUCAUAAAGUGGACAUUAGCACUAUCUACAAUUUGUAACUCUAGUAUUACGAAGCACUACGGACACAACAAAGAAGCUAGUGACUGUAUGUCUGUUAAUUUCUAUAAUAAAACUUUACCAUGGACACAUUUCAAGAACUUAUAGGAGAACUUAAAAUUAAAAAUGUAGAUUAAACUUUUUGAUCACUCUUAUCUUGUUACUAUUUACAUGACUACUGCAUUUUAGAUUGGCAAUAGAGUUAUUUUGACUACAAUGCAGAUGACAGCAUGUUUAAUCAUUUCAAAAUUAAAAACAUCAAUUAUAUUAAUACAGUCAGGGAAGCAACUUCAUAAACUAAAAGGUUUUUCCAUUCCAUGCACAUUAUAGCCAUAUUAAAGGGAUAUGCUACGAUAAAAACCAAAAUAAAAAAAAUCAUGUGACUGCCAAUGUCUAUGUAGCUCAAGUGUGUGUUAAUGGUUGUAUUCUAGAAAUGAAUGCAUCAAUUAGCUAUACCACCUCCAAAAGCAAGAAGCUCAUACAGGUUGGGAAACCAUGCAAUUGUUUUUACAUCAGUAGUAUGUUCAUAGUAUUUCAGGACAAGUUGAAUGGAAUGUUGAUUCCAAACAAAAAACUGUAUAUGGAUGAGAGUCUUGCCAUUUAAUCAGUUGACUGUAUGUUUAUUAAUUUCUUAGGGCCUAUCAUUCAUAAAGUGGACAUUAGCAUUGUCUAGAAUUUGUAACUCUAGUAUUAAGAAGCACCACUAAUGCAAAAAAGAAACCAAUGACUAUGUCUAUUAAUUUCUUCAAUAAAACUUUACCAAGGACACAUUUCAAGAACUUAUAGGAGAAAUCGAAAGCUAAAAUUUAGAUUAAACUUUUUUAUCACCCUUAUCUUGUUACUAUUCAUAUAGUUAAUGCAUUUGUUACUAUUCACAUAGUUACUGCAUUUUAGAUUGGCAGUAGAGUUACUUUGACUACAAUGCAGAUGAUAGCAUGCUGCGUCAUUUCAAACUAAUUGGAAAAACAUCAAUUAUAUCAAUGCAAUCAGGGAAAUAACUUUAUGCACUAAAAGGUUUUUCCAUUUCAUGCACGUUUGAGGCCAUAUUAAAGGGGUAUGAUAUGAUAAAAACUAAAAUAAAAAAAUCACUUAACUGUCAGUGUCUAUGCAGCUCAAGUGUGUGUUAAUUGUUGUAUUCUAGAAACGAAUGUAUUGAUCAGCUAUACCACCUCCAGAAACAAAAAGCCUAUGCAGAUGGGGAGACCAUGCAAUUGUUUUUUACAACAGCAGUAUGCUUACAGUAUUUUAGGAUAGGUUGAAUGGAAUGUUGAUUCCAAACAAAAAUCUAGAUAUGGAUGAGAGUUUUGCCAUUCAAUCAGUACUUAAAACCAUGGUUGUUGCACGUUGCUGUUGCUUUGUUCUUUUGUUGUCGAGGAGAAAAAGAGGGUAACAGAGUUUAAGGGGUUUUCAAACCCUUAAAACAAACAGCUGGAGAUAGGAACAAGAACCAAUUGUAAAUCAAAUUUUUUAUGCCAAAUUUAAUCUUCAAUUUUUUUAUGACAUUAGGCAAUCAUAUCGGUGAGUAAAUAGGGAAAAUCCAAGAACCAACAAAAAUUAGUUACCUUUUUUACAUGCAAGUCCUUAGAAGAUGAUUUGAACACUUUCUUCAUCAUCGAAAACCAUUCACUCCCUUGCUUUCCUAUCUCCACUCAAGACAGGAGCUUUAACAAUUGUAAAACCCAAAUCAAAGAAAUAAUAAAAAGAAAAAACCCCAAUCUAAACAAUCAAAUCCUCAACUUUAUCAAUCAAUAAUCAAAACUCAUUUCCAAAAAUUAUUAAAAAAAAAAAUAAACAAACAAUGAAAACCAAAAUUUUAUGACUUAAUAAUAAAAAUCUAUAUCAGAAAAGUAAUAAAAAGAAUUGAAGAAAAUGAUAAAAUCUAGUCAGAAACAUAGAGAUCAACUCAAAACCAAGUUGAAAAAAAGACUUACCUAAAAAACCCAAAUUUUAGCAUAUUCCUUAAAAGUCAAUUCGUUAUCCAGAAAAGCCUU